This is a long non-coding RNA of Heterocephalus glaber (naked mole-rat), 610 nucleotides long. Lineage: Eukaryota; Metazoa; Chordata; Mammalia; Rodentia; Bathyergidae. The record is from Ensembl.
AACUUACUGCCUGCAGUUGAAGAAAAUUCUGGAAAGCAUCUGCAUCUUGUUCUAAAGGAAACAAAAGAAUGCACUGCUGUUAUUUGGUGGCAAGGGGAGAGGCUGGUGCGAGGGAGAGCAGGGGGAAUGACGACACGGCUGAGUUACUUCUCCAGUGACCCCACUGCUGGGUGGAGGCAUGACAGGGAUGACACCUGCCUCCCUGCCCUCCUGCAACAGCAACCACCUCCCAUUUACUGAGCAGCAGGGCAGGUGCCUAGGACAGUGCUACCCCUCAUUCUGUCCUUAAGUGGCCUUGUCGGAAAGACACUGUUAUCAACAUCAUGUCACCGAGUCGGAGAAGUGGAGCAUCUUGUCCAAGAUCACACAGUUGGAAAAGGGCAGAUCGGGGACUGGAGUCCAGAUACGCCCGACUCCAGAGCCAGGACUCUGCACCCGCCUUGUUGCUUCAGUGACUCAGCAAAUAAAAGCAAAAGCUCAGUCCCAAGUGGGAGAAAGAGGGCAGGGCAGGCUCACACCCAUCGCUCCUGCCCAGAGCCAGGCUGCCAAGACCAGCAACAGGCACGCAAACUAGGCAGAACCCUGGGGGAGGCAGACAUCUACAUCUAAG